GUUUUAUUGAUUAAUAAUUUUAAGUCAAAUCUGCUCAAUGAAUUUAAAUUUUAAUAGCUGCAGUAUAAAUAACUGUACAAAGGUAGCAUAAUAAUUAGUUUUUUAAUUAAAAACUAGAAUGAAUGAUUUAAUGAAAUAAAAACUGUAUCAAAUUUAAUAAAUAAAUUUUUUUUUUAAAUAAAAAAAUUUAAAUAAUAUUUAAAGACGAGAAGACCCUAAAGAAUUUCAUAAUUUUUCAUUUUUUAAAUUUAAAUUAUUUUAAUUGGGGAAAUUUUAAAAUUUAAAUAAUUUUUAAUUAAUUAAACAUUUAUUUUUGAAUAAAUUAUAAUUAAUAAAUAUAAAAUUUAAAUUACCUUAGGGAUAACAGCAUAAUUUUUUUAAAAAGCUCAAAUUUAUAAAAAAGUUUAU
This 408-nucleotide ribosomal RNA is filed under the name Sathon falcatus. Its description in RNAcentral is "partial 16S large subunit ribosomal RNA". Lineage: Eukaryota; Metazoa; Arthropoda; Insecta; Hymenoptera; Braconidae. The record is from RNAcentral.